GGGAUUGUGGCUCAGCGGUAGAGCACUCGCCUAGCAUGCGUGAGGCCCUGGGCUCGAUCCUCAACACCA
Molecule: transfer RNA, 69 nt
Filed under: Ictidomys tridecemlineatus (thirteen-lined ground squirrel)
Lineage: Eukaryota; Metazoa; Chordata; Mammalia; Rodentia; Sciuridae
Description: Spermophilus tridecemlineatus (thirteen-lined ground squirrel) tRNA
Rfam family: tRNA
About the family: Transfer RNA (tRNA) molecules are approximately 80 nucleotides in length. Their secondary structure includes four short double-helical elements and three loops (D, anti-codon, and T loops).
Source: Rfam by way of RNAcentral